RNAcentral lists this ribosomal RNA (253 nucleotides) under uncultured bacterium. RNAcentral's name for it is "partial 16S ribosomal RNA". It matches the Rfam family "Bacterial small subunit ribosomal RNA", at positions 524 to 776 of the family's 1533-position model. The record is from RNAcentral.
UACGGAGGGUGCGAGCGUUAAUCGGAAUCACUGGGCGUAAAGCGCGCGUAGGCGGCGCGAUAAGUCAGGCGUGAAAGCCCUCGGCUCAACCGGGGAAUUGCGCUUGAUACUGUCGUGCUUGAGUCUCGGAGAGGGUGGCGGAAUUCCAGGUGUAGGAGUGAAAUCCGUAGAUAUCUGGAGGAACACCAGUGGCGAAGGCGGCCACCUGGACGAGUACUGACGCUGAGGUGCGAAAGCGUGGGGAGCAAACAGG